Molecule: transfer RNA, 69 nt
Filed under: Ictidomys tridecemlineatus (thirteen-lined ground squirrel)
Lineage: Eukaryota; Metazoa; Chordata; Mammalia; Rodentia; Sciuridae
Description: Spermophilus tridecemlineatus (thirteen-lined ground squirrel) tRNA
Rfam family: tRNA
About the family: Transfer RNA (tRNA) molecules are approximately 80 nucleotides in length. Their secondary structure includes four short double-helical elements and three loops (D, anti-codon, and T loops). Further hydrogen bonds mediate the characteristic L-shaped molecular structure. tRNAs have two regions of fundamental functional importance: the anti-codon, which is responsible for specific mRNA codon recognition, and the 3' end, to which the tRNAs corresponding amino acid is attached (by aminoacyl-tRNA synthetases). tRNAs cope with the degeneracy of the genetic code in two manners: having more than one tRNA (with a specific anti-codon) for a particular amino acid; and 'wobble' base-pairing, i.e. permitting non-standard base-pairing at the 3rd anti-codon position.
Source: Rfam by way of RNAcentral
AGGUUUGUGGCUCAAUGAUGGAGCGUUCACCUAGAAUGUGUAAGGCUCUGGGUUCGAGCCCCAGCACUA